RNAcentral lists this unclassified non-coding RNA (218 nucleotides) under Hevea brasiliensis (rubber tree). Lineage: Eukaryota; Viridiplantae; Streptophyta; Magnoliopsida; Malpighiales; Euphorbiaceae. The record is from RNAcentral.
GGCCGUUCCUGUUUCCAUUACCCUUGAGGCCGUGACUGCAAUUUAAAACCAUGCAUAACAUCAUAGUUAAAAUCCAAAAUACAAAAACCAACACCCACAACAACAAUGAAUAUACUAGAGGGAUUAUUGGUUGUUCAUCAAUUAAGUGAAGAUUCAACUGUUUAGAGAGAAAACUAUGGUUUGUUCUUGGAUACACUAAAUGCUUGUCAAUUAGGAUC